RNAcentral lists this ribosomal RNA (460 nucleotides) under uncultured bacterium. RNAcentral's name for it is "partial 16S ribosomal RNA". It matches the Rfam family "Bacterial small subunit ribosomal RNA", at positions 338 to 795 of the family's 1533-position model. The record is from RNAcentral.
CCUACGGGUGGCAGCAGUGAGGAAUAUUGGUCAAUGGACGCAAGUCUGAACCAGCCAUGCCGCGUGCAGGAAGACGGCUCUAUGAGUUGUAAACUGCUUUUGUACGAGGGUAAACGCAGAUACGCGUAUCUGUCUGAAAGUAUCGUACGAAUAAGGAUCGGCUAACUCCGUGCCAGCAGCCGCGGUAAUACGGAGGAUUCAAGCGUUAUCCGGAUUUAUUGGGUUUAAAGGGUGCGUAGGCGGUCGGAUAAGUUAGAGGUGAAAUCCCGAGGCUCAACGUCGGAAUUGCCUCUGAUAUGGUGCGGAUAGAGAGUGGUUGCGGGAGUAGGAAUGUAUGGUGGAGAGGAGAAAGGCAUAGUGAGCAUACAGAACGCAGAGUGAGAAGGGAGCUUACAAAGGUACUUCGGACGUUGAGGCAAGAAAGCGUGGGGAGAGAACAGGAGUAGAUACCCGUGGAGUC